Molecule: transfer RNA, 73 nt
Filed under: Ictidomys tridecemlineatus (thirteen-lined ground squirrel)
Lineage: Eukaryota; Metazoa; Chordata; Mammalia; Rodentia; Sciuridae
Description: Spermophilus tridecemlineatus (thirteen-lined ground squirrel) tRNA
Rfam family: tRNA
About the family: Transfer RNA (tRNA) molecules are approximately 80 nucleotides in length.
Source: Rfam by way of RNAcentral
GGAGAUAUAGCUCAGUUGGUGGAGUCCUUGCCUUGCAAGCACAAGGCCCUGGGUUCAAUCCCCAGCACCACCA